This 253-nucleotide ribosomal RNA is filed under the name uncultured bacterium. RNAcentral describes it as "partial 16S ribosomal RNA". It matches the Rfam family "Bacterial small subunit ribosomal RNA", at positions 524 to 776 of the family's 1533-position model. The record is from RNAcentral.
UACGUAGGUGGCAAGCGUUAUCCGGAUUUAUUGGGCGUAAAGCGAGCGCAGGCGGUUCUUUAAGUCUGAUGUGAAAGCCUUCGGCUUAACUGAAGAAGUGCAUUGGAAACUGGGGGACUUGAGUGCAGAAGAGGACAGUAGAACUCCAUGUGUAGCGGUGAAAUGCGUAGAUAUAUGGAAGAAUACCAGUGGCGAAAGCGGCUGUCUGGUCUGCAACUGACGCUGAGGCUCGAAAGCAUGGGUAGCAAACAGG